AUAACCUACGGGGGGCAGCAGUGGGGAAUCUUGGACAAUGGGCGCAAGCCUGAUCCAUCUAUUCCGCGUGUGGGAUGAAGGCCCUCGGGUUGUAAACCACUUUUGUAGAGAACGAAAAGACACCUUCGAAUAAAGGGUGUUGCUGACGGUACUCUAAGAAUAAGCACCGGCUAACUACGUGCCAGCAGCCGCGGUAAUACGUAGGGUGCGAGCGUUAAUCGGAAUUACUGGGCGUAAAGGGUGCGCAGGCGGUUGAGUAAGACAGAUGUUAAAACCCC
RNAcentral lists this ribosomal RNA (278 nucleotides) under uncultured bacterium. Its description in RNAcentral is "partial 16S ribosomal RNA". It matches the Rfam family "Bacterial small subunit ribosomal RNA", at positions 334 to 604 of the family's 1533-position model. The record is from RNAcentral.